AGUGAACGCUGGCGGUAGGCCUAACACAUGCAAGUCGAACGGCAGCACAGUAAGAGCUUGCUCUUACGGGUGGCGAGUGGCGGACGGGUGAGGAAUACAUCGGAAUCUACUUUUUCGUGGGGGAUAACGUAGGGAAACUUACGCUAAUACCGCAUACGACCUACGGGUGAAAGCAGGGGAUCUUCGGAACUUGCGCGAUUGAAUGAGCCGAUGUCGGAGUAGCUAGUUGGCGGGGUAAAGGCCCACCAAGGCGACGAUCCGUAGCUGGUCUGAGAGGAUGAUCAGCCACACUGGAACUGAGACACGGUCCAGACUCCUACGGGAGUCAGCAGUGUGUAAUAUUGGACAAUGGGCGCAAGCCUGAUCCAGCCAUACCGCGUGGGUGAAGAAGGCCUUCGGGUUGUAAAGCCCUUUUGUUGGGAAAGAAAAGCAGCAGGUUAAUACCCCGCUGUUCUGACGGUACCCAAAGAAUAAGCACCGGCUAACUUCGUG
RNAcentral lists this ribosomal RNA (492 nucleotides) under uncultured bacterium. RNAcentral's name for it is "partial 16S ribosomal RNA". It matches the Rfam family "Bacterial small subunit ribosomal RNA", at positions 29 to 507 of the family's 1533-position model. The record is from RNAcentral.